GCUCAACCGGGGAGGGUCAUUGGAAACUGGGGAACUUGAGUGCAGAAGAGGAGAGUGGAAUUCCACGUGUAGCGGUGAAAUGCGUAGAGAUGUGGAGGAACACCAGUGGCGAAGGCGACUCUCUGGUCUGUAACUGACGCUGAGGCGCGAAAGCGUGGGGAGCGAACAGGAUUAGAUACCCUGGUAGUCCACGCCGUAAACGAUGAGUGCUAAGUGUUAGAGGGUUUCCGCCCUUUAGUGCUGCAGCAAACGCAUUAAGCACUCCGCCUGGGGAGUACGGUCGCAAGACUGAAACUCAAAGGAAUUGACGGGGGCCCGCACAAGCGGUGGAGCAUGUGGUUUAAUUCGAAGCAACGCGAAGAACCUUACCAGGUCUUGACAUCCUCUGACAACCCUAGAGAUAGGGCUUCCCCUUCGGGGGCAGAGUGACAGGUGGUGCAUGGUUGUCGUCAGCUCGUGUCGUGAGAUGUUGGGUUAAGUCCCGCAACGAGCGCAACCCUUGAUCUUAGUUGCCAGCAUUCAGUUGGGCACUCUAAGGUGGCUGCCGGUGACAAACCGGAGGAAGGUGGGGAUGACGUCAAAUCAUCAUGCCCCUUAUGACCUGGGCUACACACGUGCUACAAUGGGCAGAACAAAG
RNAcentral lists this ribosomal RNA (637 nucleotides) under uncultured bacterium. RNAcentral describes it as "bacterial SSU rRNA". It matches the Rfam family "Bacterial small subunit ribosomal RNA", at positions 607 to 1244 of the family's 1533-position model. The record is from RNAcentral.